GAGUUUGAUCCUGGCUCAGGACGAACGCUGGCGGCGUGCCUAAUACAUGCAAGUAGAACGCUGAAGACUUUAGCUUGCUAAAGUUGGAAGAGUUGCGAACGGGUGAGUAACGCGUAGGUAACCUGCCUACUAGCGGGGGAUAACUAUUGGAAACGAUAGCUAAUACCGCAUAACAGCAUUUAACCCAUGUUAGAUGCUUGAAAGGAGCAAUUGCUUCACUAGUAGAUGGACCUGCGUUGUAUUAGCUAGUUGGUGAGGUAACGGCUCACCAAGGCGACGAUACAUAGCCGACCUGAGAGGAUGAUCGGCCACACUGGGACUGAGACACGGCCCAGACUCCUACGGGAGGCAGCAGUAGGGAAUCUUCGGCAAUGGGGGCAACCCAGACCGAGCAACGCCGCGUGAGUGAAGAAGGUUUUCGGAUCGUAAAGCUCUGUUGUAAGAGAAGAACGUGUGUGAGAGUGGAAAGUUCACACAGUGACGGUAACUUACCAGAAAGGGACGGCUAACUACGUGCCAGCAGCCGCGGUAAUACGUAGGUCCCGAGCGUUGUCCGGAUUUAUUGGGCGUAAAGCGAGCGCAGGCGGUUUAAUAAGUCUGAAGUUAAAGGCAGUGGCUUAACCAUUGUUCGCUUUGGAAACUGUUAGACUUGAGUGCAGAAGGGGAGAGUGGAAUUCCAUGUGUAGCGGUGAAAUGCGUAGA
RNAcentral lists this ribosomal RNA (702 nucleotides) under uncultured bacterium. RNAcentral describes it as "bacterial SSU rRNA". It matches the Rfam family "Bacterial small subunit ribosomal RNA", at positions 9 to 694 of the family's 1533-position model. The record is from RNAcentral.